This is a non-coding RNA of Caenorhabditis elegans, 216 nucleotides long. The record is from Ensembl. NCBI's taxonomy places the organism in Eukaryota, Metazoa, Nematoda, Chromadorea, Rhabditida, Rhabditidae.
AGUUUUCAGCAGUGUUCAGAGUAGGUUUAGGAGAAGUAGAAGAGAGGUGUCAUCACACGUGUGUGUGCGUGACAAGAUGAGAGGUGUCAAGGAUGAUGAGAAUUGGACUGACACAUUUAAAGUGAAGCUAUUUUUUUUUUCCACUAAGAUAAGAAAAGGAAGAAGAGAAAACAGAACUAAUAGAUAGAUUGAGAAGAUGUGAUGAGGAUGCGUGAC